This is a non-coding RNA of Rattus norvegicus (Norway rat), 17856 nucleotides long. The record is from RefSeq and is a predicted model, not a curated record. Lineage: Eukaryota; Metazoa; Chordata; Mammalia; Rodentia; Muridae.
AGAGAAUGAGUGAACUGGAGGUGGUCACUAGUGAAAGAAGGAGACAGUGUCUGGUGUAUGAACUAUGUCAAAGCAAGAGGUUCUACCCAGGCAAAGCUCUGAGUCCCAUCUCACUGGACAGACUUAAAGAUCAGGGUGCCAGAGAUCUAACACCAUAUGCCUGGAGGCAUCGUCUAUUCCUACACUUGGUCUUAGCCAAAAGGCCGAGAAGCCAUACAUCGUCUAUUCCUUUUUUUUUUUUUAAGAUUUAUUUAUUUAUUAUAUAAGUACACUGUAGCUGUCUUCAGACACACCAGAAGAGGGCAUCAGAUCUCAUUACAUAUGGUUGUGAGCCACCAUGUGGUUGCUGGGAUUUGAACUUAGGACUUUGGAAGGGCAGUCAGUGCUCUUAACCACUGAGCCAUUUCUCCAGCCCCAUCGUCUAUUCCUAAACCUUCCAGAGGGAGCCUCACAGCAGCCUCUCUCUCUAAAAAGCCCUCGGCAGGGAAUCUCAAAGGGAAUAGGAAAGAUUAGUUUGGCAGGUAGGUCUAAGGUUAGUAAUUUAAAAUUGUAAGAUAUUUCUUGCAUUUCUCAUUCGCCUUUCCAAAAUGGCAUCUAUUUUCACGUAUAAGAAUAAUACAAAUUUUCUUGUCAGUUUGUGUAAAUCUAAAUAAUCAGCACUAAAAGCCACGAGGCUGGCCAUAGAGUCAUGGCAGUACGAGAUGACUUUAGCCUCAAGCGGGCUUCUGGGACUUUGUAAGUCUCCCAAGAAACCGAUGAAAGAGUGUAUGGUAACUGGGUAACCACUCCUUCAGGGAGGUCCACAGUUUUUAUCAUGUUGCUUUUAAAGCCUUGACUCCAAGUGUGAGGAACGACUAUUUUGAAGUCUGAGCCAUUCAGCCAGUACCCACAAGCCAGCCAUGCUCAGAGUGAGAAAUGUUCCAAGUGUGAUACGUGUCUGAUUUCAGUGACCUGCCUUACCAGUGAUUUGUCACUCAUUCAGUCGAGUACCUUGUCAAUGCAGCUUACACGUGUGUGUGAGAGAGGUGGGGGAGGGGAGACGGAGAGGAAGGGGGAGAACUGUGGUAUCAUCUGUAUAGGCAGUGUACCACCCAUGUGUACAUGCACAGGGCACAGGAGGUCUGCUGUGUGUCCUGCUCUGUCACCCUCCAUCCCUUUCUUGACACAGGGUCCCUUACUGACCACCUUGGCAGCCAGCAAGCCUAGUCAGUUCUCCCAGCAGUGCUGGGGUUACAAGCCUGCAUGAGCACAUCUGGAUCUUCACACGAAAUCUGAACUCAGGUUCUUAUGCCUGUGUGGCAAGCACUCACACUCACAUCUCUUUGGCCUCAAAAUUACAGCGUCAACAUAACCUUCACUUGAUCUUUUCUUUGUAAUGUAGUUACAUAAAAUUCAACAUUACAUGCAUGACAAGUUUGUGUCAUAUUCAGCAGACAGUGCUGGAUUACAGCAUCAUAUUUAACAGACGGUGCUGGAUUACAGCAUCCUAUUCAGCAGACAACACUGGAUUACAGCAUCAUAUUUAACAGACAGUGCUGGAUUAUAGCUUCUCAUCAAGAAAAUAAACCACAGAAGCCUGUAAUAAAUACAAUUGCUAACAAGCAGAAAGCUGUUACAGUAGGAAGGCAGAGAGCAAUGUUGAAAACAUUUGCUGACUUUCCCAAGAAUUGACUUGGGAAGACAUUCGCUGUCUGUCCUUAAAUCAGCCAGGAGAGUAAAUCAGAGGCACGAGCUUAACAGUCAGUUCAGGGUAAGAGAGCUAUAAUUAUUUUUGAAGCUUCUGAGAAGAGGGAGAGUUGAAUGGCUUUAUUUUGUCUUUUCUGACUCUAAUCUACAUCUACCAAGCAAGACAGAUGCUGUACUUGCUUGAGUCAGGCUUGGCUUCCCCGACUGCUGUAUAGUGCUCCUUGGGUGGCCAUGGGGGUGGGGAGCCUAGGCUCCUCCUCCUCCUCUGGCCACCAGCUUUUGACUUGGGCUCUCUAGCCCCGAGGCAUGGCACUCUUCCUUCAGCUGUUUAUCUGGAGCUGGGAGGGGGUGGCUACAGGGGACAGUUGCCUGGGAACUUAAAUAUGACUGGGGACAUUGUUUCCUCUUCCGUCAUUCUUAUCAAGGUCGUGACUCAGAACACCCCGGUGAUGUCGCUCUCUCGUCAUAGGAGCUGGUGUCCCCUGUGGCUCAGCAGCUUGUGAGCUUAGCCUCAAGCUCAGUCUUACCCCUCUGUCUAAUCUUUCUGAGAAAAGAUCAAAGCCUUUAGCAACACUGCCCCUCACUCCAAGUGCAUUAAAUGGUCGAGUUCCAGGCUGGCCCUAGGACAGCACCCGUGAGUGAAGCUGCCUGUGUGCUACCACCUUCUUCCGUGUUGCUCCAUCUUUUGCUCUCCCUGACGUUUAAAAGGGGGCCCACCGGUGUCCUGGUUUCCAUAAAAUGACAUCAUCACAGCAGGUGGCCCACGGGGUUACUGUGGCGGCUUCCUCAGAGGCUCCCGUUAACUUUAGCUCCUAAUCAUAUGCUCCAGAUUUUUUUUUCCUCUUUGCUGAGAACUGGUGUGUCUAUCUCUCGAAAUGUCAGCCCAUGCAUGCACUCCAAGCCAGACAGGAGAUUCUGCAGUAACAUCAACCAUGCAACAUAGCCAGCUAGAGGGGAGGCAGAGACAUGGAGUGUCAACUCAGGCAGCCCUAACAUAACUGUGCAUAAAACAUAUCCCUCCAGGGCCUCAUAGGUUCUAAGUUACUGGAUGGCAGGGGCUGGGACAGUCUACAGCUCUGUCAAGUCCCCAGUGGUAUCCACACUACUGGCCAGCUACUGCAUACACUUUGAGUAGCAAAGAACACCUUGGAGUCCUCAGAUCUGGUGUCCAGAAAACCCAGUAGCAGUGUGUGCAGGAGAGAUUCCUCUGAGGACGACUGUCAGUGGACUUCAGAAGCCUUAGCCAUGUAUCUAAACAAAAGGGAUUAGAAAUACAGUCUGGGGUCGGUUCCCAAGGGUUCUGUCACUGGUCACUGCAGCUCACCAUGCCCCAGUUCUCUCAAAAGCACACCCAGCUAUGUUCUCCCUAGUCUGUCAGAUGAGGCCUUGUGCACCUCUGCUCCCUUCUCAGCGUCUGUCCAAACAAGGCCCUGCUACACCUCAGCCGGGCCUUGAGUAGCACCGAGUGGAAAAGCCAUCUUAAGCUGACUCUGUGACUUAUUUGACAGAGCAGCUAUUUUGAAUGUAAAGGUUUUGCUAAAUAAAUAUUUUUCCAUCCCGGUUAUUUGCUCUGUAAACAUUCACACUACUGUGCAAGGUCUGCUUAAAGUAGGACACGUUGCUUUCAGUCCGGAGCUGAUGAGUAGGAAACAACCAUGCUCACGGAGAACACAAAGAGUUUGCAGACUGUUCCCUUCCCCCGGGGGCUUUUUAGUUUUACAAUUCCCAAGUUGGUUUGCCUGCCGUUGUGUAUUUGUGGCAGUUGCUUAACUCCUUAUAAAGUGGCGUCUAAUUUAAUCAGCACUGACUUCGGUGUGUUCUAUCUGGAGGUCAAAAUGACAUUCUUUGCAGUUUUGUAUAUCACGUAGAUGCUGCUACAUGCAUGCUGUACACCUAACACCACGGCAGGUGCUGUCGGCUGGCCGUGAGAGGCAAGAACACAUGGGGGAGGGGAGUGGCGAAUGGGCGCCCGACUGGGUUGAUCGAAGAAUUGAACCGUAUUAGGAAGGCCUACACCGUGCAGCAAAGAGCUAUCAUGUACUUCUCAGCCUGGCUAUUGCUAAUGAGGCAUCUGCCAAAUUAAACGCCCCUCUUCCAGGGAGGAAAGUGACCGGUCCACCCUUGGCUAACAGUUAAUAGUUUUAACAGAUCAGGUAACUGUGUGGUUUUUGGGUUUUGACUGUCUACAUAGUGCUACCCUGGCUGGUUAUCUGUCCCAAGUAAUUCCGACUUUGAGGCUAUUAACACUGUGUCAGGGUCUAAAGUAGAAGUGAAACACUUUUAGACGUGUACCAGUAAGCCAUAGUGCAGCAGCAGUCUGGGGAAGAACCAGGAGUUGCAUCAUCAUCAUCAUCAUCAUCACCACCACCACCACCACCACCACCACCACCACCACCACCACCACCACCUUAACAAAUCCUCUUAACAAAACUGCUGCUGUUAGAAAUACGAAUUACACCCAUUGCCUUUUCUCUACCUGUGCAGGAAGCAAUCCUGCUCGGUACAGUUUUAUCCUUGCCAUCAAAGAUUUCCGGUUGUCCAAAGCGACCGUCAUCGAUACCAUAUCUCUCUGUCUUUCCUUUGGGCUUGCUGGAAACACAAGUAGCAACAACUAGGAGAAUCUUAUGACUUUUGUAGGCUGGCUGUUUCCUCAGAGACGUGUAAUUGGUGGUACUUUCUACUAGCAUAGCAUAGUACUUUGUACAGAGGAAAGCCUGUUGAUUUGAUUGAUGACAGGUCUUCUCUAAGGGAGAUGAUGGCUAGCUCCUGUAUGGGCUGGUAGCUGGAAGUUUAUUGCAAAGCAGAAAUUUCUGGCUUUUGUCGGGACUUCUUACAUUGCUUAGAAAAAGCUGUGGAAUCAUUGGUAGGGUCUGUGCAGACAGUUGCCAAUGUGACAAGGCUCACACAGCAUCAUUGAUUACAACUAAAAUGUGUGUUUAACACAACUAAACAAUUAGAUAAUUUAUGACAGAGAUGAACAUGGUUUUGAUAAAAUAAUUUUUUUUGUUCCAUCCAGGUAAGCGCUACAGGAUUUCACUCAUUCUCCCACUGCUAAGGAGUAUUUUAAGGAAACAUUUAUUCUUUUUCAAAAGUAGCAAAAUGGUGACUAAGGGCUCUCCAGAUGAGAGAGCACCUAACUGUCACGAAGGGAACCAGAAUACUUCUAGGUUCCUUGUGCCCACUGGCAGGGGAAUUACAGUUUACUAUACGGAGUUUGCAAGCGAAUCUGGCAUGACGGCAUAAGCCUGGUCUUGCUACCUGGGCAAUGGGGUCAGAAGGUCACUUGAGUCUAGGUGUUCCAGGCCAGCUUGGGAAACACAGUAAGUCCUUAUCUCAAAUCGAAUCAAUGAAUAACAGCAACAAAACCAAAAACAAACUCAAACAAGGGACCAAUCACAGAAUAACAUCACACAUGAAAGGGUCAAACGUUUUGUGGUAAAUGUAGAAGAAGAGCAGAAAGGGGAGCCAGGGCAGUGAAGGGCUGUAUUUGAUGGGAGCUGUAGUGCUUUAAAUGAAAAAUGUCCCCUGUAGGCUCCCUCAUUUUAACGUGUGGCUUCUAACUGGUGGUGCUGUUUUGGGGAAGUUUAUGUAGUGUAGCUUUGGAGAAGAUAUGCUGCUGGGGGUGGGCUUUGAGAUUGGCCCCCUUUUCACCUCACUUCCUGCUUCCUGCGUGUGGUUAAGGAUGUGAGCUCUCAACUUCCGGCUCCUCCCACCACGCCAUCAGCUUCCAGCUCCUCCCACCGCACCGGCCAUUCACAGCCACGCUUCCCUCCCAGGACAGACUCUUACUCUUUUGCAACCUUAAGCCAGUAGACUCCUCCUUCCAUAAAUGGCUUUUGGUUAUGGUCUUUUAUCACAGAGCGGAAACGUAACAAAGGUUAGUUAAAUGAUGUGCUCAGGUUAGCCUUAAUGGCAGGACAGCAACUGGCUCAAAGCUGUUAGGAGGUGACGGAAGAGCCAGGCAGGCGCCUUCAGGUACCUGACUGUUAGAGAGACAGACAACCAACGCUGGGCACAAAAAAUUAGAAAAAAAAUAUAAUGAAAAAGACAGGAAAAAGUUCUUCAAAAUCUACAUUUAAGGAAACCGUCCUUAAUCUGCUGAAGUCCCUGAGUUCCUCCCACCCCUCCAGUCUUAACGGAAGUGCCUGAAUUCAGCAUGCACGACUUUACACAGAGGCUCAUCCAACGCUACCAAUGCGGCCCACUGUGUCUGAUCUCAUCUCCAACCCCUCCCUACAUGACAUAACCUAGUCACAGAUGAAAUAGAAAACCGAACCAAACCACUGCUGUGUCUAAUUUUUCUUUUUUAAAAAAAUUAUUUACUUAUUUUAUGCGUAUGCACUUGUGUGCCUGAGCCCGGGUCUGUAUGCCACAUGCAUGCAGUGCCCACAGAAGCCAGAAGAGGGCAUCAGAUCCCCUGGAACUGGAGCUAACAGACUCUUAUAAGCUGCUAUGUGGGUGCUGGGGAUUGAACCUGGAUCCUCUGGACGAGCGGCCCUGCUCUUAACUCUCUGUCUAGUUCUAUCUGCCUAAUCUUUACAAUGGUUCUCCCCUGCCAUCAGGUCCAAUUUGAGAAUCUUAAACAGACAUUCACCUUGGCAGUGCUGGUGAUCGCGCUAAACUCUUUACAUUGCUAUAAUUACUGCAGUAUAAAUCCCUCUGCAGACUUCUGUCUGCGGCCACUUCCCUUCCCACUCCCCACAUAACUUUACCUUUGCAGACCCAGGGAAGCUCACUGUCCUUCCGGAAGUCUUGCCCUAUCUCCUGCCCUGCUUUAUAGUUUGUGUCUGAGGGUCCUGCCAAUCUCCCUGGACCACAUUGCAUAUUUGUAGAAGGGAUCUCUUACGUCUUUCGAGAAGAUUCACCUGUAAAAUAAAGCUGGUUGGUCCAUAGCAGAGGCAGGAAAUAGCAGGUGGGAUUACAGUAGGAAGAAAGGACGUUGGGAUAGAGAGAGGCGCAAGAGGAUUGGCCCUGGAGCCUGCAUGAGGACAGAUGUAUGAACCUGAGCAGAGGUAACCAGCCUUGUGUCAGAACUUAGAUGAGAAUGAACGGGUUAUUAACUCGUGAGCUAGUCAGAGAACAUGCCUAGUUAUACGGGCCCAAGUAGUUGUAAACCUAUGUGAGUCUCAGAAUUGUUAUUUUUGGAAACAGGUAAAAACACUUUAUUACACAUAUUUAUACCAAAGUAGCACUAUGAUGUUUUGCAAACACCGGUCUGUUUCUUUGGCUACCAGUUGCUCAAGUGGGCACCAGAGGCACAACCAGCUCAGCUGCACAGAGUGGUCUUGACUCCGUUCCAGCAGAGGGCGUGUCUUCAUUCUUCCAUGGUAGACACUUGGGUUAGUUCCAGAGCUGAGCCAAAAGCUUAGUUACAAAGCAGACACUGGUAGAAUAAUGGCGGCAGACAAACAGGCCGACGGACUCUCUCAGAUCAGUGGCCAGGUAUGACUUUACAGUAUCUACACCACAGGGAAGCUUGCUGGGAUGUAGGCUCCUAGCUGGCUUCCCAACCGGCCGGACAGCAGACGGCAUGUGGAACCUAGGACACUGUGUCAAGAAGCCCUCUAGACAGUUCUAACAAGUAAACACACAGACAGCUCAAAAAGUGAUGACUUCAUUCCAAGGACUCAAAUAAUGUUGCCCUUAAGAAGGGCACUUAAAUCGUAAGACAGCUUUAGAAGAAGACAAGACGUCAUCACGCACAUGGAUCUGCCCACCACCCACAGGUGCUUCAUCUCUCAAUGAGGAGUAAUGUGUAGCAAACCACUAAUGACCCCUCUCUCCUCUUUCCUCCUCUCUCCACGCUAACCAUGGGCUUACAGUUGGUGUUUUUCACAUGGAUGCCUUCAUCCCUCUACUAUAGGAGCACACAGGCAUUUAUCUUUAAUUAGAGACAUGGUCUCGGCUAUUACAGAGCAUCUGUCUCAGUGAGCUCCAUAGAGACACCUGGAGGAGUCGCAGGCACGGGAUGCAACCAGCCUGCUCCUGGCCAACAGAAGUGCAACGGGAGGAACUAUAACCACCCAUCCAAGUUGAUACAGUUGCAGCCAAGUUACAACAUCGAGUGAAGCUUAGGAGCCAAAGACUGUUAAGCGCAAAGUAACAACAGGCUUUGCACUGGCAAACUUGUAUCAUUCUUGCUGAACCCCGCGGGAAGUGCUUAUCAGGGAGGGUCAUGUGCUAUGGGGCAGGAGGAAUCCUGAAUGGUCAUGAAGAGGGCUCUGGCUCCGCAGAUCUGUCAGCGCCGCAGAUGGGCCCUGACUCUGUCAGCUGCCACAGCAAGAUAUCACCUGCCUCCCUCAAAGGAUGCAAGGAUGGCUUGCAAUGAAUUCUUUGUCCUUUGGAAGGAUACGAAAUGAAAAUCUUAGAAGAUGCAGUUCCCAAAGGCAUGCGGCUGUAUCUCCCAGUGGAAAGGAGAGGGGAAAAGAGGGGGAGGCACGUAAGAGGGAGAAAAGGAAGGAAGGAGGCAAGGUGUGAAGGAGGAGAAGGAAGGAAGGAAGGAAGGAAGAACAAACAGUGGCCCUUCCAGUCCCAACAUGACCACUUCCUUUUGCGUACUUUCUUACAGCGAUUCCGUGACUAUCUUUGUCCCUUCUCCCAACCCCCUGAAAGGCCUAUACGUUUGCCAGCUCAAACUUAAUCCGCUGGCACAGAGCCAUGAAAGUUUGCUUUGCCUUUGUGGUAUGUGUGUACAUCCUUAGCUAUGCGUUACUUAUGGGCCGCUGCUGAUAGACCGUAUCAUGGAAGUCUUGCUGAUUUUCUGGUUAGAAAGAAAGAGACCAGGGAAUUCUUUUAUGUGCUGAGAUCUCUUUCAUAAAAGCUUAGAUUAUGUCCCGAAGGGUUUCUCUGAAUGUAGGUGUACAUGCGUAUGAACCAUUGCACAUGAAGAGGGAUGAGUAUACCUUCUCUGCAAAGCUUUGGACUGCACAGGUGGGUAGCUGAUGCACCUGCUCCCACAGACGGCUCCACUCUAUCAGCUUUCUAAUUGCAACCAGGUUGGGGGUCUGGUGCUCCUUCGGGACCGGCUUCUACAUUGCUUUAAGACGGCAAGGUGCCCAGCCAUGCUUGCUUUGCAGCCAGGAGUCAGCGGAAGGGUGGAAUUCUAGUAAGAUCAGUUAGUGGGAAACAUGGUGCUUUUUUACCCUACAAUCCUGCUCUCUACUAGAGCUCCAGCAGGAAUCCUGAACCAAGAAGUCCGGAGGAAGCAGCCAAUACUUGAGAGAAACGUAAGAAGAAUCCAAGUCUCUGAUGAUCAGAGGGCUCGCCUCCUGCUACAAAAUGAACCUUGUGUUCAAACUCUAGUUCAUUAUAGUUUCCUUUUAUGGCAGUCUCUAAAUUCUCUUCACAAAUUUAGUUGUUUACAAAGCCAUUAGCUGACAGGAUACAUUGAUUCAUUUCAGAUGGGAAGGUCUAGUUAAGGGCCACUCUGUCACUGGGACAGUGAGGGGUUUGGACAUGGCCCCCUGGCACCUCUAACUCUUGGUCUAGAAACAGGCAACAGAAGCAACAUGAGCAUGAGGUGAUGUCUGUUAUCCUGUGAGGAUGCUUUUGGUUUUUUUUUUUUUUUUAGCUCAAUAGCAACACUAGAAAAAAUAGAGGAAAGUGGAAGGAGAUAAACUCUUAACAGGACACUCUCACCUGUUAAAGACCUUCCAGGAAUGUGCUGUUUGAACGUGUUCAGGCUGCUGCUUAAACCAAGAGCAAGCAAAGGCAGCGGGGAAAGGGGGAAGUUAGCUGGGUGAGGCCUGAAGGAAGAACGGACCAAGCUUAGAGACAGCUAGCUCAAAGCAGUCCACGAGACAUUCGCCCUGAAAGGGACAUACACAGCUGAUGAGACUCGAGGUCAAGAGAAGCCUUCAAGUAUGAGCCUGCUAGCAGUCUGCUCCUGUCCUGGACUCUUCUACAGACCAGCAGUCCUUCUUACUUCUUACAAUUUUUGCUUCAACUUUCAUUACCUUUUAAUUUCAUUUUUCCUGUAGCCUUGGUCUUAAUACUUAAUAUAAAAUCUCCCCUCUUGUUAAGUAUACAAGUUAGUUUUGGGAACUGUAAAAGGUUAGUAUAAAGCAUUGUACUGCAUAUGCUUAUAGCUUACUCAUCUGUGGAAAAGAAACUUCUACCCAUUGAUAUAAUUUUCAUACACUUUAUAUCUUAUGUACACACACACAUACACACACACACACACACACACACAUACACACACACUUUUUUUUUUUGAGCAGGGUCUUUCUAUGUGAUCUAGGCUGACCUGGAACUGACUAUAUAGCCCAGGCUGGCCUUGACUUCAUGGAGACUUUUUCUGAUCCAUCCUCCCAAAUGCUAAGAUUACAGACAGGUAUAAGACACCACACUGGGCUGAGUUAUACUAGGUGGUAAGCCUCGUUAUAACAGGUGUAUUGUUUAAAUUGUAAAAAUAAAAGUAACAGAGAAAAUAUUCACAGCGUAGAUUUCAAUGAUUGACACUUCUUCUCGUCUCAUGGGAAACUGAAAUCCCAUGUUGCAUUGGGAGAGGGUAGGGUCAGGUUUGGGGCUGGAGCACAUCUUAAACCCUGGCUGUAGGAAGGGACUUCUCGCUCCCUGUCAGCAGAGUGAAGGAGAAAAUGCCUUUUCUGUCUCGGCGGGCUCCAUGUGGCCCGGCUCGCUCUCAAUGACUUGAAUCACAAGGAAGCAAGCACUAUUCCAACUCCUGCCUUACAUAAUUCCAUUUCUGUUCUCAUGCGCGCUAAGCUGGCUGGAAGAAAAUUUGCUAAAUUAAAUUCGGUUUGAUUAGGAAAUUUGCGUCAUGUGCAUUCCAAGCAUGGCGUGUGUGUGGGUUAAAAAACUGUUCUGGUUAUUUAAAAAAAAUGUUUUACAGAUGAUUCAGUUUUACCAUAGCCUCAUUAGUGAACGAAAUCUGUGUUCCUGGGAUGCAUUUUGGCUACUCGUUGUCUUGGCUUUGGCUGGGAAAUCUCCCAAGUCCCAGGAAGUCUGUCCUGUCUGAAGAAACGUACGAUCGCCUCCAAGGCUGGGUGGGGCACCUUCACAUCCUCCUGCUCUGCCCCUGAGACCCUCAUGGAUCCCUUUACUUCCUGCUCAAAAAACGUUCCCUACUUCCCAUCAGUUUUCCCAAGGCAGGCCCUGAGUCUCCUCUUGGUGGACGUCCUUAGCUACAUUUCAAUGUCGCCUUCUGCCCAACUUCUAAACAAAGGCAUGGAAAAAUUUAAGAACGGUCUGAAGUGCUUCAGGCUGAGGAAAGGGCUGGAGAGACCGGCAAAUGUCACAGAAGAAUGCAGGGAGGGGCGGUCAUCAAGAGCAAGCAGCAGAAUCCAAGAGCUGCUACUUUACAGAUAAGACACAGGCCCAUUUUCCACCCCAGUGCCUGCCAUGAUAAACGCAAUCUUGCAUUUUAUAGUCAUUGAAAAGCAUCCAAAGGAGUAGGUGGAGAUUUUAAGAAAAUAGAGCUGUUCCUAUUAUUUUACUUCAGGAAGGCACUGCAUGGUCAGCAGGUGUCCCCAAACCUCAGGAACUGUGUUGAGGACCAGGGCUACAAUGUAGUCCACGCAGCUUUAAGAAGUUGUUCAGGUACAAAUAUCUGGUGGGUGUCCUUUCACUCAAUAAGGACCUACCUAUAAUGUUUGUGUUCUUCUACUCUUUAUCUCUCUAGUUCACGGAAUGACAAUUCUUAGUCUUGAGUGUACAGGUGACUUUUGACACAGGCCAUGUGGGGCACACUCUAGAAAGGUAUACAGCACCCCGUCAUUCCAGACAACUUUCUUAUGCUCCUGGCCCCUGGCCAAUGCCUCCUUCUUCCUGAGGUAAUAGUGACUACACUAAUUCCUGUUACUAUAGAUGGACCAAGCCUUUUCUAGAAAUAUAUAAAAAUGGAUUCAUAGAUUGUCCCUUUGGGUCUAAUGCUUUAUGGUCUGAGCAUGUAGAGAAACCCCUAUGGACUUUAUGUCUGAAAUCAAAGGGCCACUCUGCAGGGAUGGUGGUGUGUGGGUUUCCUUAGGUCUCCUGAGUUUCUUCCUUGGGAUGGAGGACUUCAGAUGACAGUUUGGUUGGGGGAGGGAUGAGGAGGAAGCAGAGGUUGGGGGAGGGGUUCAUAGGUACUCUUCCCAUUCUUUUUUUUUUUUUUUUUUUUUUUUUUGGUUCUUUUUUUUCAGAGCUGGGGACCGAACCCAGGGCCUUGCGCAUCCUAGGCAAGUGCUCUACCACUGAGCUAAAUCCUCAACCCCUACUCUUCCCAUUCUUAAACAGCACAGCUGUCCCUUUCUAUGUUGUGAGAAUUGGGGUUCGUUGAAAAGCUGCAUUCGGGAAAGGAGAAAUGAUUCAUGGAAAUGUUAGCAGCAUGGGAAAUAUUAACCAUUGCGUAUUUGCAUUAAAGAACCACAAAUCUCAGGGUUCUUAUGUGAUCCCAUUUCGUGGCGGUCUAUAAAUUAGCAGUCUGGUUACUGCUGAGAGAGCAGCAAUAGCCAUGGAGGAGGGAGAAGAGGAAGCCAGACUGGGGACUCCCAGGGGAGGGCCUGAGCACCGAGGAUGGUAAUGUUAGCACUGGCUAGCAUCAGACAACACCAGCACCUAGAAGCCUAGACAAUAGGCCAGAGGCCACGGGCCAAGAGAGGCACAAAGACCGCAUUCAAAAGACCCCACUCUGCUGCCAGCCAGAACUUCCACAGACUCCAGCAGACCCUGGACGGGCCUGCACGCUACCACUGCCUCCUUUCUACGGUGAGUUGAUGACAGCUAAAAAUAAUGAACACAGGCAGAAAGUGCUGACACAGCCUUAGAUGCAGAGACAAACGGAAAUGUUGUUCUAGCCAUGAAAACAAACCAGCUUCAAAACAGCCCAGCAUUCCAGGCAGGCUGAGUGACAUUGCCACACUCCUCUAGAUGAAGGGGGGAUGGGCGAGCCAAGGGAACCUCCUCUACCUGCUCUGCCCCCUGAUCCCUGCCGCUUAAUCUAACCAGGACUUAUCCAAUUCUUUUUUUAUUUUUCACUCAAGGAAAAGAUACUAGAGAUGGGUUUAGAUCCUUCAAGCACAGUUUUCUUGUGAAACAAGAGGAAUGUCUCCAUCCAGCCAGCUGGAUUGCCCUUCUUCCCUUGAGUAGAUUAACCUCAUCUCUUCACCUAGAUAUGGUUUUAGCCACACGAUACCUUGUAUUUCUCUGGAAUACCAACCUUUUAUUUAGCUAUGCUAAAUAAACUAUUUUAAAAAGUGAUGAUGCCUCAAGUUUGAAGACACGAGAGUUCAAUUGGCAGCUACAAUAACCGCGAAUGCAAACAGCAAGUUAAGGCUGACCUCUGACCUUAUUCAUUAAGUCAUGUGUGGAACUUGGUACCACCACGCGCGUCCUCCAGCAGACUAAGGAGAGGGAAACCACGGAUCUGGAAAACAGGAAACACAAGAAUGUAAAUACACAUUUUUAAAAAAAAAUGUAAGCUCCCCAAUAUUUGAUUAGUCGGUACCUGCUGUUAUUUCUGUCUUUAAAGGAGGUCCAGAUUCAGGGCUGUCUCUUAUUUUGAAUAAAUGUAAGUUGACUUAGAUGAAAUCUCAUUCUGAACUGGACACAGUUUUGUGGAAAGAGAGGCUAACACUAGGCUGUAGCCGCAUAGCUCUUAUAGGGGACAACCUUUGAGCCUCCCAAAGACCUCCUUUUCUAUGGGGCUUCAAGAACAGUGCCCAAGAGUUUUACGUUCCCAACCUGGGAAGCAGGCUGAGAAGCAAAAUGAACCUCCAGGUCACGGGAGAUCUUAUGCUAGUGAGAGGCAGUCUCCCAGUCUAGGGUUGAGCUGGCCUCACUUUGUUGGUGAAGGUGUUACUCCUUCCUUGUUCCUGCCUUGAGAGAGGGCUGCAUGGGUCCUCAUCCCAGCCCAAAGUGGAGUUGCCUAGAGACCUGCUGAGGGCUGGUGGCAAGGGGCAGAACCUGUGUCUAAGGGUCUCCAUGGUUCAUGGCAAGCUGCCCUUCAGCUGUGGCUUCAUAACUUCUCUAAUGGUUGUGGGGAACUGAGAAGUCUCUGUCAGAGAUUAGGCACAUAAACAUCUAGAUUCCUGACACUCAGAGCUGAAGAGAAUUAUUUUUUUUCCUUUUUCAUAUUGAUUCUUUCUGUUUCACCAACGUAAUAAAAGAGUAUUGGUAUAAUUAUCCUUAAGGCCCUGCCCGGAGGCUGGAUCGUAAGUUGAUUUAUAAAUUGCCAGUCUUUGCUUCUUUUGUAUUCACAAAAAUAUCUAUGUAUCCAUGGCAACGGUGUGCUUAUGGGUUAUUUUGUUUUGUUUUGGAGACAAGGUCUCAGUUCUGCAGCCCUGGCUGUCCUUGAACUCAGUCUAUAAUUCAGGCUGACCUAAACUAAUGGUGAUCUUCCUGCCUCAGGCUUGUGAGUACCGGGAUUGCAACAGUGAACCACCUUUUCUUGGCUUGGGCAUUGGUGGUUUUUGUUUGCAUUGGUGUAUGUCAUAAAUAUUAUAUCUCUAAAUUGCCAUUCUCUGCUUAAGCUCACUGAGAAGCUGGCCCACUCACUCUUCCCACCUGCUGCAGACCCAAGCAUAUUGGUGGUCUUAAAGCAUCUUCCAAGAGUCCUUGACCAGGGACAGGCUGCUCCCUGACCUUAUGGGAAGAGUAAUGAAGAGGGCAAAGCAGCCCCGAAGUAAAGCUGUUAUGCCCCUAAGAACAGACAGAAAGACAAGCCACUGCCACACAGGUUAGCAGUGCGUUCAUCUUGUGACGUAAGAACACCUGCGGUGCUGGAGUGACCAACGCGCCCAACUUUUCACGAGAAUACCAUGAGCUGGAGCUCAGCUCCUCAUUCUUGUGGAACAAAUCUACGUCCUGAGCAAACGCCACAACACAGGAGCUGCAAAUUCACCACAUGACGUGACUUGCUAUUUCGGUAUGUCUUUGUCUACAUUGAAAAACCACAUAUCCUAAUUGUACAGAGUUCUUGACUAUGCUAUACAUGUCUACAUGCACGAAAAGUCCCUGUUUAUCACAUAAAGGAAGUCCUGGUCCCUUGGACAUGUGCAGCACGUGUUGGGCACCCGAAGGUUUACUCUGCUGCCGUACUCACGCCUGACCUUGUAUCCAGGAAGGCUCAUCCACACCAUACCCCCAUGCAGAACAUGCAGGCCAUACCAGCAACCCAUACUUAUUAAAACUGAUCAUUGCUAACAUCUUUCACGUGAAAGCCACAUUAAAGAUGACUCUGGAGAUGUAUUCGCUUAUUUUCUUCAAAAUCCCUCUCCACUGCUCUUGUCAUGAAGUUCUUGUCAUAAACCUUCUCAUCUGCAACCUCCAGUGAGUGGGGAACUGCUGAUAGUAUAGGGCUAGAGACCAAGACGUGGAGGAGCAUGAUGUAUCCUAAAAGCAUUUCCAAAGAGGGAAUCAAUAGAGCAAAGAGGUUUGUGCUUGGGGCUGAUUUGGUUUUAUUGGUAGCUUUGAGUUUGGUUUUAUUGGUAGUUUUGAGUACAAGCACAUCCUGGGCCCUGGCAUGAAUAUCUAAAAACAAACAGUGAUUCCUGUAGAAAUAUCAAACUUCAUAUAUAUAUAUAUAUAAAUAUAUAAUUUAAUAAUUUAAUUUUAACUUAGACUCUAAGGAAUAGAUUUGAAUGUGGUUACACGAAAACAAUAUGAAGCCCCCACCUGAUUUACAUUAAAUACUCAUUUUAAUUUUUAUUGUACCUUCUUCUUUUUAAGAUAGGUCCCCUUCUGUUUCCAAGACCAGCCUGGAGCUCAUCAUGUAGCCCAGGCUGGCUUAGAACUUGCGAUGUUCUGCAGCCUCCAGAGUGCUUGGGGCACAGGCAAUUCACUAAUAAAUUUUUAUAAAGUAUACUUUAUGGCUUGUAGCAGUAAUUUUUCAUGCUUUAGUCCUCACAGUGACCGCAUGAGAUAGUAUUUUCCACACUGGGAAAUGGCAGGCAGAGAAAGAUUAAGUAUCAUACCCAAUAGUAAGGGAGACACUGGUGGGGCCACACUCUGAAUGCCCUAUGACAGAUGCUGGUUUCAAAGUGAAAACCUUAAAGAACUGGAGAUGUUGGCGCUGGGGAGGUGGCCCCAGAAUCUGUGUAAUACAAGCAGCAUCUCCUUCACAGUGUUUCUGCAAACAAGGCUAGUCCAGUAGACAAGCUCAGGGUGGUGACUUGGCAGUGCAGAAGGCCAUUUAAAGAGGGUAGCUGGAUCCUAAACCCUCCCAACCUAAACCUGGUUUUAACUCUUCUCUUUAGAAGACAGGGAACUGGGAAUUUGCUCAGAGCUCAAAGGAGACUGUCCAAAAUGGAGAUGAGAAUCCUUUCCUGGAGCCACUGUAGUUUAGAAACUCGUGUCUUUUACACCUUUUAAAAUUGGGGCAAAACUAUGUUACUAGUGCGGCUAUUUUGUAGUUUCAAAAGAACCCUGUUUUGUAACUGAUUUGUAUUCCAACUUGGGAUACAUUUAUUUGUGGGUGGGAAGCCACUCCUUUUUGCUUAGUCAUCUGAGCUGAGGUGAGGUUGGCCCUGUUUCUCACUGCUGCUCCCAAUUAAUGCAAAUUGAAGGGUAAAGGACAAAUAAAGUUUCUUUAACUUGGUCCACUCAUAUGUUAUUUAUAAAUGGCUCUUCCCUUGAUCUAUUUUAGGGGCAGGCGGUAAUGGUGAACAGACAAAACAACACAGAAGGAACUAGCAAUUACAUAAUGUAUAAUUUUACUGCAAAGCUCGGAAAGGGUUAAACUUAUAUGUCAUAUAUUUGUUUAUUUAUUUUGCAACAGGGUCCCAUUAUGUAGCUCAAAAUUUACUAUGAAAACUAGGCUGGCCUCAGCUCACAGAGUGGCUUGUUUCUGCCUCCUAAGUCCUGGGAUUAAAGUUGGGGGGCAGCACAUCUGGCUAAUCAAAAAUCAAUCUCUGUCCAUCUGUCUAUUCGACCAUCUCUCGUGUCUCAGCUCUUACCUGAAAUAGUAGACCAAAUGUGUGAGCAGCCCAUGUUCCCUCUGCAUUCGUUUUUAAAGGGUUUGCUGAAUAUUUUUCAAAUUUAUUUUGACAGGCAUAUUGUAUUCCCUUAUGCACAGGGUCAGAGCUGUUGAAGCAAGUCAGGCUUUUUCUUUAUAUAUAUAUUGCAGGGGUUCCAGGUCUCAAUAUAUAUGGCAUUGCAUAGGACAACCUUAGUCAUUAGGGAAAUGCAAAUCAAAACAACCCUGAGAUUCUACCUCAUACCAAUCAGAAUGGCUAUGAUCAAAAACUCAGGUGACAACAGAUGCUAGCAAGGAUGUGGAGAAAGAGGAACACUCCUCCAUUGCUGGUGGGAUUGCAGACUGGUACAACUACUCUGAAAAGCAGUCUGGAGGUUCCUCAGAAAAUUGGACAUUGCACUACUUGAGGACCCAGCUAUACCACUCCUGGGCUUAUACCCAAAAUAUGCUCCAACAUAUAACAAAGACACGUGCUCCACUAUGUUCGUAGCAGCCUUAUUUAUAAUAGCCAGAAGCUGGAAAGAACCCAGAUGCCCUUCAACAGAGGAAUGGAUACAGAAAAUGUGGUACAUCUUCACAAUGGAAUAUUACUCAGCUAUCAAAAACAACGGCUUUAUGAAAUUCAUAGACAAAUGGUUGGAACUAGAAAAUAUCAUUCUGAGGGAGGUAACCCAAUCUCUCUCUCUCUCUCUCUCUCUCUCUCUCUCUCUCUCUCUCUCACACACACACACACACACACACACACACACACACACACACACACACAAACACACGCACAAACCCCAAAACAAGAAAAAAAACAUUGUAUGCACACACUGAUAAGUGGAUAUUAGCCCAAAAGCUCGGAUUACCCAAGAUACAAUCUACAGACCACAUGAAACCAAUCUACAGUGCAGAUGCUUCAGCCCUUCUUGGAAGGGGGAACAAAAAUAUUCACAGGAGGAGAUACAAAGGCAAAGUGUGGAGCAGAGACUGAAGGAAAGGCCAUCCAGAGACUGCUCCACCUGGGGAUCCAGCCCAUAUACUGCCACCAAACCCAGACAAUAUCGCUGAUGCCAAGAAGUGCAUGCUGACAGGAGCCUGAUAUAGCUGUCUCCUGAGAGGCUCUGCCAGAGCCUGACAAAUACAGAGGUGGAUGCUCACAGCCAACCAUUGGACUGAGAAUGGGGUCCCCAAUGGAGGAGUUAGAGAAAGGACUGAAGGAGCUGAAAAGGUUUGCAACUCCAUAAGAACAACAACGCCAAUCAACCAGAGCUCCC